GAUGAACGCUGGCGGCGUGCCUAAUACAUGCAAGUCGAGCGAACAGACGAGGAGCUUGCUCCUCUGACGUUAGCGGCGGACGGGUGAGUAACACGUGGAUAACCUACCUAUAAGACUGGGAUAACUUCGGGAAACCGGAGCUAAUACCGGAUAAUAUAUUGAACCGCAUGGUUCAAUAGUGAAAGACGGUUUUGCUGUCACUUAUAGAUGGAUCCGCGCCGCAUUAGCUAGUUGGUAAGGUAACGGCUUACCAAGGCAACGAUGCGUAGCCGACCUGAGAGGGUGAUCGGCCACACUGGAACUGAGACACGGUCCAGACUCCUACGGGAGGCAGCAGUAGGGAAUCUUCCGCAAUGGGCGAAAGCCUGACGGAGCAACGCCGCGUGAGUGAUGAAGGUCUUCGGAUCGUAAAACUCUGUUAUUAGGGAAGAACAAAUGUGUAAGUAACAAUGCACGUCUUGACGGUACCUAAUCAGAAAGCCACGGCUAACUACGUGC
This 498-nucleotide ribosomal RNA is filed under the name uncultured bacterium. RNAcentral's name for it is "partial 16S ribosomal RNA". It matches the Rfam family "Bacterial small subunit ribosomal RNA", at positions 28 to 508 of the family's 1533-position model. The record is from RNAcentral.